ACGAGCGCUGGCGGCGUGCCUAAUACAUGCAAGUUGAGCGCUGAAGGUUGGUACUUGUACCGACUGGAUGAGCAGCGAACGGGUGAGUAACGCGUGGGGAAUCUGCCUUUGAGCGGGGGACAACAUUUGGAAACGAAUGCUAAUACCGCAUAAAAACUUUAAACACAAGUUUUAAGUUUGAAAGAUGCAAUUGCAUCACUCAAAGAUGAUCCCGCGUUGUAUUAGCUAGUUGGUGAGGUAAAGGCUCACCAAGGCGAUGAUACAUAGCCGACCUGAGAGGGUGAUCGGCCACACUGGGACGGAGACACGGCCCAAACUCCUACGGGAGGCAGCAGUAGGGAAUCUUCGGCAAUGGACGAAAGUCUGACCGAGCAACGCCGCGGGAGUGAAGAAGGUUUUCGGAUCGUAAAACUCUGUUGGUAGAGAAGAACGUUGGUGAGAGUGGAAAGCUCAUCAAGUGACGGUAACUACCCAGAAAGGGACGGCUAACUACGUG
Molecule: ribosomal RNA, 496 nt
Filed under: uncultured bacterium
Lineage: Bacteria
Description: partial 16S ribosomal RNA
Rfam family: Bacterial small subunit ribosomal RNA
Source: RNAcentral